This 439-nucleotide ribosomal RNA is filed under the name uncultured bacterium. RNAcentral's name for it is "partial 16S ribosomal RNA". It matches the Rfam family "Bacterial small subunit ribosomal RNA", at positions 339 to 795 of the family's 1533-position model. The record is from RNAcentral.
CUACGGGCGGCAGCAGUGGGGAAUAUUGCACAAUGGAGGAAACUCUGAUGCAGCAACGCCGCGUGGAGGAUGACGCAUUUCGGUGUGUAAACUCCUUUUAUAUGGGAAGAUAAUGACGGUACCAUAUGAAUAAGCACCGGCUAACUCCGUGCCAGCAGCCGCGGUAAUACGGAGGGUGCAAGCGUUACUCGGAAUCACUGGGCGUAAAGCGCGCGCAGGCGGCUAGAUAAGUUGGAAGUGAAAUCCUAUGGCUCAACCAUAGAACUGCUUCCAAAACUGUUUAGCUAGAGUCUGGGAGGGGAAGAUGGAAUUAGUAGUGUAGGGGUAAAAUCCGUAGAGAUUACUAGGAAUACCAAAAGCGAAGGCGAUCUUCUGGAACAGUACUGACGCUGAGGCGCGAAAGCGUGGGGAGCAAACAGGAUUAGAUACCCCCGUAGUC